RNAcentral lists this ribosomal RNA (468 nucleotides) under uncultured bacterium. RNAcentral describes it as "partial 16S ribosomal RNA". It matches the Rfam family "Bacterial small subunit ribosomal RNA", at positions 28 to 507 of the family's 1533-position model. The record is from RNAcentral.
GACGAACGCUGGCGGCGUGCUUAACACAUGCAAGUCGAACGGAAAGGCCCUGCUUUUGUGGGGUGCUCGAGUGGCGAACGGGUGAGAAACACGUGAGUAACCUGCCCUUGACUUUGGGUUAACUUCAGGAAACUGGGGCUAAUACCGGAAAGGAGCUCCGGCUGCAUGGUGGGGGUGGGAAAGUUUCGGCGGUUGGGGAUGGACUCGCGGCUUAUCAGCUUGUUGGUGGGGUAGUGGCUUACCAAGGCUUUGACGGGUAGCCGGCCUGAGAGGGUGACCGGCCACAUUGGGACUGAGAUACGGCCCAGACUCCUACGGGAGGCAGCAGUGGGGAAUAUUGCACAAUGGGCGGAAGCCUGAUGCAGCAACGCCGCGUGCGGGAUGACGGCCUUCGGGUUGUAAACCGCUUUCGCCUGUGACGAAGCGUGAGUGACGGUAAUGGGUAAAGAAGCACCGGCUAACUACGUG